ACGGGAGGCAGCAGUGAGGAAUAUUGGUCAAUGGGCGAGAGCCUGAACCAGCCAAGUAGCGUGAAGGAUGACUGCCCUAUGGGUUGUAAACUUCUUUUAUAAAGGAAUAAAGUCGGGUAUGCAUACCCGUUUGCAUGUACUUUAUGAAUAAGGAUCGGCUAACUCCGUGCCAGCAGCCGCGGUAAUACGGAGGAUCCGAGCGUUAUCCGGAUUUAUUGGGUUUAAAGGGAGCGUAGAUGGAUGUUUAAGUCAGUUGUGAAAGUUUGCGGCUCAACCGUAAAAUUGCAGUUGAUACUGGAUAUCUUGAGUGCAGUUGAGGCAGGCGGAAUUCGUGGUGUAGCGGUGAAAUGCUUAGAUAUCACGAAGAACUCCGAUUGCGAAGGCAGCCUGCUAAGCUGCAACUGACAUUGAGGCUCGAAAGUGUGGGUAUCAAACAGGAUUAGAUACCCUGGUAGUCCACACGGUAAACGAUGAAUACUCGCUGUUUGCGACAUACAGCAAGCGGCC
RNAcentral lists this ribosomal RNA (507 nucleotides) under uncultured bacterium. RNAcentral describes it as "bacterial SSU rRNA". It matches the Rfam family "Bacterial small subunit ribosomal RNA", at positions 341 to 848 of the family's 1533-position model. The record is from RNAcentral.